Molecule: long non-coding RNA, 907 nt
Organism: Mustela erminea (ermine)
Lineage: Eukaryota; Metazoa; Chordata; Mammalia; Carnivora; Mustelidae
Exons: 7
Source: RefSeq, a predicted model, not a curated record
CUCUCUGUCUCUCUCUGCUUCUCUCUCUGUCUCUGUCUCUCCUUCUCUCUGUCUCUGCGUCUCUCUCCCAGCUGCCAGUCACUUAUCUCCCUCUGGCCGUUCCCAAAUGGUCCUGGUUUCCAGUUUCUUGGCUCAGAGUCUUCUUGUUUUCCUGAGUUUUGCCGACGGCGGAUUGACAGUGACUGACACCAUGCAGAACCCGGUGGCAGGCGGCAGAGAAGGAAACUCAGCUGAAAGAGAAAUGGAGUAAAGAUGUUAACUUAUGUCAGGAGAGCCUGCUGAUUGGUUCUGUCUCGCACGGUAUUAUUUUAAAUCGAUGGCCGCGGCUGCAAAAUCAGAUAAUUUCUCAGAAGACUUGCAUGGAAGCAUAUUCUACGGUUGUUUAUGUUUGAGAGACGGAGGAUUGCAUCAUUACGUCACGGACAUCUCUUGUAGGGUCGGAUGUUGCUUGCUUUGGAGACAUCAUUUCUCGGCAGCGGACUGGAGCGGUGACCCAUGUGUUUGCAGUCCUUGUGUGACGUGCCAUCCCGUUACUAGCUGUUUCUGCUGCUGUUGGGAACCCUGUGCUGCACUCAGCGUGGCCCCCUUCCUUCUGAGUUCGAUCUGGGAGUCGGAGACUAGGACGUUAAACAUUCGGUACAACAUAUAGACUUCUCACCACUACUGAUGGGCAGGAGACUCCCUGGUGAUGGGAAAAUUACACUUUUCCUCCAUCCCCACUCGCCCAGCACCACAGAUCAGCAGCAGCACACUUGUGAAAGAGCUCGGCUGUGGCCACAGGAGCGCAUGGCCCCAUGACCCAGGAUGCACGGACAAGCCCCUGGGAGUGAAACGCCCCGAAAUCCUUGCGUGGUCCUGCUUGCCUUGGAAUGAUAAACUGGCUCGUCUUUUUUUUUUUUUUAUUUUU